GACAUGGUGGCUUAGUGGUUAGCAUGUUUGACUCAUAGCUCUGGGGUUGGGGGUUCGAUUCCCCACCUCUGCCG
Molecule: non-coding RNA, 74 nt
Organism: Ameiurus melas (black bullhead)
Lineage: Eukaryota; Metazoa; Chordata; Actinopteri; Siluriformes; Ictaluridae
Source: the annotation of a GenBank genome assembly